This 341-nucleotide unclassified non-coding RNA is filed under the name soil metagenome. RNAcentral's name for it is "partial contains 5.8S ribosomal RNA, internal transcribed spacer 2, and large subunit ribosomal RNA". The stretch from base 1 to 120 matches the Rfam family "5.8S ribosomal RNA", at positions 35 to 154 of the family's 154-position model. The record is from RNAcentral.
GAUGAAGAACGCAGCGAAAUGCGAUAAGUAGUGUGAAUUGCAGAAUUCAGUGAAUCAUCGAAUCUUUGAACGCACAUUGCGCCCUUUGGUACUCCAAAGGGCAUGCCUGUUCGAGCGUCAUUUGUACCCUCAAGCUUUGCUUGGUGUUGGGCGUCUUGUCUCUAGCUUUGCUGGAGACUCGCCUUAAAGUAAUUGGCAGCCGGCCUACUGGUUUCGGAGCGCAGCACAAGUCGCACUCUCUAUCAGCAAAGGUCUAGCAUCCAUUAAGCCUUUUUUUCAACUUUUGACCUCGGAUCAGGUAGGGAUACCCGCUGAACUUAAGCAUAUCAAUAAGCGGAGGA